AUGGCUCAGGAUGAACGCUAGCGACAGGCUUAACACAUGCAAGUCGAGGGGCAGCAUAGAAGUAGCAAUACUUGGUGGCGACCGGCGCACGGGUGAGUAACGCGUAUGCAACCUACCUAUCAGAGGGGAAUAACCCGGCGAAAGUCGGACUAAUACCGCAUAAAACAGGGGCACCGCAUGGUGAUAUUUGUUAAAGAAAUUCGCUGAUAGAUGGGCAUGCGUUCCAUUAGGUAGUUGGUGAGGUAACGGCUCACCAAGCCGACGAUGGAUAGGGGAACUGAGAGGUUGGUCCCCCACACUGGUACUGAGACACGGACCAGACUCCUACGGGAGGCAGCAGUGAGGAAUAUUGGUCAAUGGGCGGGAGCCUGAACCAGCCAAGUCGCGUGAAGGAAGAAGGAUCUAUGGUUCGUAAACUUCUUUUGCAGGGGAAUAAAGUGCAGGACGUGUCCUGUUUUGUAUGUACCCUGAGAAUAAGGAUCGGCUAACUCCGUGCCAGCCGCGGC
RNAcentral lists this ribosomal RNA (506 nucleotides) under uncultured bacterium. RNAcentral describes it as "bacterial SSU rRNA". It matches the Rfam family "Bacterial small subunit ribosomal RNA", at positions 19 to 518 of the family's 1533-position model. The record is from RNAcentral.